CGACGAAGAAGGGCUAUUAAAAGUGAACACGCGAGGGUUUCCGUCCUCUUGGAAGAGAAGUAGCCCACGUGUGAGUGACCUGCGGUCAGCAGAGCUCUUCAGCAUGGCUUUCUACCUCCUCUGCUCCGCGACCUCUCUUGAAGGACCACGUGGCUUUGGAUGACUAGCACUCAGCCUGCUGGGCCUCUUGGAGAGACUGUCUACACAAAUGAGGGCUGUUUCACAUGAAGGUGCGUGUUUGCACCAUGGGCUGGGCUGUGGCCAAGGGUGACGAUACCCGAGGUCAGUAGCGUUGAUGUUUGGAUGAGUAGUUGCACUCGGCUUGCCGGGCCUGUUGGAGAACCCAUCUACACAAUAGAUGAGGGCUACUUCCAAUGAAGGUGCCUGUUUGCAGCAUGGACAGGGCUGUGGCCACUGGUAACCGUACCUGAGGUGAUUAGCAUCGUUUAGAAGACUAGUAGCGCUCUGCCUGCUGGGCCUUUUAGAGAACCCAUCUAUGCAAUAGAUGAGGGCUGCUUCAAAUGAAGGUUCCUGUUUUGAAAGGCUGUGGCUGGAGGCACGCAAUGCAGGAGGUUUAUCGGAGUGCCUCCUUUGACUGAUGCAUCCAGUUAAUGGUGGGGGUUCCUGAAGCAAGAUGGGAACCAAGCUGUGUUGCUGGUGAAGAAGACUCUUGGUUUACCAGAAAAACGACAAACACGUAGCCCUUUUUAGCAUAGACAACACUUGAAUGCGUUGUUCAGUGUAAUACUUAAAAUGACCCAUGUCUUUAUGAAAUAAAUUGUCACUGUACGUAA
This is a long non-coding RNA of Colossoma macropomum (tambaqui), 794 nucleotides long. RefSeq lists it as uncharacterized. Lineage: Eukaryota; Metazoa; Chordata; Actinopteri; Characiformes; Serrasalmidae. The transcript is spliced from 7 exons. The record is from RefSeq and is a predicted model, not a curated record.